AAUGAGGUGCCUGAUAAAAGGAUUAUCUUGAUAGGAUAAAUCAUGUAAUAACCAAAUACCCCCAUUA
RNAcentral lists this transfer RNA (67 nucleotides) under Petamella prosternalis. RNAcentral's name for it is "tRNA-Ile". Lineage: Eukaryota; Metazoa; Arthropoda; Insecta; Orthoptera; Acrididae. The record is from RNAcentral.